Long non-coding RNA from Perca fluviatilis (European perch), 368 nucleotides. RefSeq lists it as uncharacterized. Lineage: Eukaryota; Metazoa; Chordata; Actinopteri; Perciformes; Percidae. The record is from RefSeq and is a predicted model, not a curated record. The transcript has 3 exons.
UCCACUUGCAUGGCAGUAAAUAUGAUGACACUGCAAGCUCGUCUUUUGCCGACAAAGUUGUGAUCCUUGUGUUUUUUUGAUGAAGCAGUGAAAACAAGCCACUGCGAGAGCACCGGCAGCUGUGUGGUUAAGGAUACAAACGCCCCGCCUCCUCUCUGCACCUCUCCCAGCACCGGAGGAACAACAGGGCUGAGGUGGAAGUGGGGGGAUCGAGAAGGAAUGACAACCUGUGUGAACUACCCCUUUCUUGGUGAAUUAAAACAUGGCUGCCACUGAGCACGAGUUAAACGACCAGUACCGGGAGAAAGGAUGUGGAGACAUGAUCAGUAUACUUCCCAUGACCGCUAAUAGGACAACCAGUCUGCAAG